CGAGCGGCAGCGCGGGGGCAACCCUGGCGGCGAGCGGCGAACGGGUGAGUAACACAUCGGAACGUACCCCGUCGUGGGGGAUAACGAGUCGAAAGAUUCGCUAAUACCGCAUACGACCUGAGGGUGAAAGCGGGGGACCUGCGAGGGCCUCGCGCGACGGGAGCGGCCGAUGUCCGAUUAGCUAGUUGGUGGGGUAAGAGCCUACCAAGGCGGCGAUCGGUAGCUGGUCUGAGAGGAUGAUCAGCCACACUGGGACUGAGACACGGCCCAGACUCCUACGGGAGGCAGCAGUGGGGAAUUUUGGACAAUGGGCGCAAGCCUGAUCCAGCCAUUCCGCGUGAGUGAAGAAGGCCUUCGGGUUGUAAAGCUCUUUCGGCCGGGAAGAAAUCGGGCAGGUGAAUAAUCUGCCUGGAUGACGGUACCGGAAGAAGAAGCACCGGCUAACUACGUGCCAGCAGCCGCGGUAAUACGUAGGGCGCGAGCGUUAAUCGGAAUUACUGGGCGUAAAGCGUGCGCAGGCGGCUUUGUAAGACAGGUGUGAAAUCCCCGGGCUUAACCUGGGAAUGGCGCUUGUGACUGCAAGGCUUGAGUUCGGCAGAGGGGGGUGGAAUUCCACGUGUAGCAGUGAAAUGCGUAGAGAUGUGGAGGAACACCGAUGGCGAAGGCAGCCCCCUGGGUCGCGACUGACGCUCAUGCACGAAAGCGUGGGGAGCAAACAGGAUUAGAUACCCUGGUAGUCCACGCCCUAAACGAUGUCGACUAGGUGUUGGGGAAGGAGACUUCUUUAGUACCGUAGCUAACGCGUGAAGUCGACCGCCUGGGGAGUACGGUCGCAAGAUUAAAACUCAAAGGAAUUGACGGGGACCCGCACAAGCGGUGGAUGAUGUGGAUUAAUUCGAUGCAACGCGAAGAACCUUACCUGGGCUUGACAUGCUGGUAGUAGGAAUCCGAAAGGUUAACGACCCCGCAAGGGGAGCCAGCACAGGUGCUGCAUGGCUGUCGUCAGCUCGUGCCGUGAGGUGUUAGGUUAAGUCCUGCAACGAGCGCAACCCCUGUGGUUAGUUGCUAUGUUCGGUGAUGAAUCGGACAGCACUCUAAUCAGACUGCCUGUGAAAAGCAGGAGGAAGGUGGGGAUGACGUCAAGUCAGUAUGGUCCUUAUGUCCAGGGCUGCACACGUGCUACAAUGAUCGGUACAGAAGGAUGCAAAGCCGCGAGGUGGAGCAAAUCCCCAAAACCGAUCUCAGUUCAGAUUGAAGGCUGCAACUCGCCUUCAUGAAGCUGGAAUCGCUAGUAAUGGCGCAUCAGCUACGGCGCCGUGAAUACGUUCCCGGGCCUUGUACACACCGCCCGUCACAUCAUGAGAGUCGACUGCACCCGAAGUCAUCUAUACAACCCGCAAGGGAGAAAGAUGCCGAAGGUGUGGUUGAUGAUUA
This 1434-nucleotide ribosomal RNA is filed under the name metagenome. RNAcentral's name for it is "bacterial SSU rRNA". It matches the Rfam family "Bacterial small subunit ribosomal RNA". The record is from RNAcentral.